GACGAACGCUGGCGGCGUGCUUAACACAUGCAAGUCGAACGGAAAGGCCUUUUCGGAGGUACUCGAGUGGCGAACGGGGGAGUAACACGAGGGUGAUCUGCCCUGCACUCUGGGAUAAGCCUGGGAAACUGGGUCUAAUACCGGAUAGGACCGCACUUUAGAGUGUGUGGUGGAAAGAUUUUUCGGUGUAGGAUGAGCCCGCGGCCUAUCGGCUUGUUGGUGGGGUAAUGGCCUACCAAGGCGGCGACGGGUAGCCGGACGGAGGGGUUGGGCGGCCACAGUGGGACUGAGGGACGGCCCAGACUCCUACGGGAGGCAGCAGUGGGGAAUCUUGCACAAGGGGCGCAAGCCUGAUGCAGCGACGCCGCGUGGGGUAUGACGGCCUUCGUGUUGAAAACUCCUUUCGCCAGGGACGAAGCGUUUUGUGACGGUACCUGGAGAAGAAGCACCGGCUAACUACGUG
RNAcentral lists this ribosomal RNA (463 nucleotides) under uncultured bacterium. RNAcentral describes it as "partial 16S ribosomal RNA". It matches the Rfam family "Bacterial small subunit ribosomal RNA", at positions 28 to 507 of the family's 1533-position model. The record is from RNAcentral.